CUUAAUUUGACUCAACACGGGGAAACUCACCAGGUCCAGACACAAUAAGGAUUGACAGAUUGAUAGCUCUUUCUUGAUUUUGUGGGUGGUGGUGCAUGGCCGUUCUUAGUUGGUGGAGUGAUUUGUCUGCUUAAUUGCGAUAACGAACGAGACCUUGACCUACUAAAUAGCUCUACUUGCGAUUGCAGGUAGCUAGCUUCUUAGAGGGACUAUCUAUUACAAGUAGAUGGAAGUUCGAGGCAAUAACAGGUCUGUGAUGCCCUUAGACGUUCUGGGCCGCACGCGCGCUACACUGACGGAGCCAGCGAGUCGACCAAGCCCGAGAGGGCUAGGUAAUCUUGUGAAACUCCGUCGUGCUGGGGAUAGAGCAUUGCAAUUAUUGCUCUUCAACGAGGAAUUCCUAGUAAGCGCAAGUCAUCAGCUUGCGUUGAUUACGUCCCUGCCCUUUGUACACACCGCCCGUCGCUACUACCGAUUGAAUGGUUUAGUGAGACCUUGGGAGGGCGAGAUGAGGGGGGCAACCCCUUUUGAACAUCCAAACUUGGUCAAACUUGAUUAUUUAGAGGAAGUAAAAGUCGUAACAAG
This 585-nucleotide ribosomal RNA is filed under the name uncultured eukaryote. RNAcentral describes it as "SSU rRNA". It matches the Rfam family "Eukaryotic small subunit ribosomal RNA", at positions 1189 to 1798 of the family's 1831-position model. The record is from RNAcentral.